GUUUUAAUAAUUUAAAAAAAAUAUUAAUCUUGUAAAUUAACAAUAAGGCCAACUUUUAAAACU
RNAcentral lists this transfer RNA (63 nucleotides) under Theopea aeneipennis. RNAcentral describes it as "tRNA-Thr". Lineage: Eukaryota; Metazoa; Arthropoda; Insecta; Coleoptera; Chrysomelidae. The record is from RNAcentral.